RNAcentral lists this long non-coding RNA (1668 nucleotides) under Homo sapiens (human). RNAcentral describes it as "non-protein coding IL12A-AS1:12". Lineage: Eukaryota; Metazoa; Chordata; Mammalia; Primates; Hominidae. The record is from RNAcentral.
GCACAAGUGCUCUCACCAGGCUGCGCGCUGGCGGGUCGGUGCACAGGGACGGGGUCGCCGCCCACGCGCGCUUGGUUCAGGGAGCCCAGGCUGUCCCUACCCGCGGCUACAAAAGCUCGCCGAGUCUUCCUGUCCACCCAAUCGCCCCACAUGUCAGCGGUUGGUCGCCUCGCGGUGCAGUGCUGGGCACGCGAGCCCCUCCCGCAGUCAUUCUCAGCACAAGCACCAGCCUGGAGCCCCGCAGCGACAGAGCUGAGAGCCCCCAAGCCGCAGAGGUCGUGCGGAGCAGGCCUAAGGCAAUAGCUAAUUGAGACUAUGCAUCACUAUUAAGGCAUCUUCACUAAAGGGCGCUGUGGAAACGCUGCCUGAGAUGCAGACACCUGUCAGAAGGGGGCUAAAUUUCAAACAAGGAACGUGGUGUUGCAUCACAAUAAAUAGAUACGGGGUUUCACCGUGUUAGCCAGGAUGGUCUCGAUCUCCUGACUUCAUGAUUCACAUGCCUCGGCCUCCCAAAGUGCUGGGAUUACAAACAGAAGAAACACACGUGUUCUUGUGUGUAAACCCAGUCCAUGGAAGAGACCGUCUGCUUGUCCCUCCUGAUCUCUGGGCCCAGACAACCAGUAGUCACCAUUCCAAGUGAGGGGUGGCUGCAACUCUACAGCCCCGUUCGUCUCUCCUCACUGUCAAAGCUGCUGAGACCCCAGACUCGACACUUGAAAGAAACCCAUGUCUGUGAAGCACUUGUGGACCAUUCAAGAUUGUGGAAGAAUCACUCAAGAGAAGGAGAUAGGUGAUGGGAUCUAGCUUCUGAUGGUUUCUAUUUUAUUGAAUGUCUAAUAGGGCAAGAAUUUGAAAAACGAGAAUGUUUGCCAUGCAGGAGGACCUGGGAAGGAGAUAACACAUUUACAGGGAGAAAGAUUGGGAUUCAGUUGGGAGGAGUAACUGAGGAAAGGGGUCACUCAAAAUAUUUUGUAUUUUAGGUCCUUUUUCUAUUAAGGAGGAAUGGAUUAUCAAAGCCUUAACAUUAAAUUGUAUUGUGUCAGGUGAAUUGCUAUGGUUUGAAUGUGGUGUGUCCCCCUCCCAAACUCACAUUGAAUUUUUUUUUUUUUUUUUGAGACGGAGUCUCGCUCUGUUGCCCAGGCUGGAGUGCAGUGGUGCGAUCUUGGCUCACUACAAGCUCUGCCUCCCGGGUUCAAGAGAUUCUCCUGCCUCAGCCUCCCGAGUAGCUGGGAUUACAGAUGUUCGUCACCACACCUGGCUAAUUUUUGUAUUUUUAAUAGAGAUGGGGUUUCACUAUGUUGGCUAGGCUGGUCUCAAACUCCCGACAUCAGGUGAUCCACCCACCUCGGCCUCCCAAAGUGCUGGGAUUAGAGGAGUGAGCCACUGCACCCAGCCUCACGUUGAGGUUUAAUUGCCAUUGUAACAGUAUAAAGAUGUGGGACCUUUACGAGGUGAUUAGGCAAUGAGGACUCUGCCCUCAUGAAUGGAUUAAUGCUGUUAUCAUGGGAGUGGAUUCCUUAUAAAGGGACACGUUCAGCACCCCCUUGCUCUCUCUCUCACCUUCCGCCAUAUGAUGAUGGGGCACAAAGGCCAUCAUCAGAUGUUGGCCCCUUGUUCUCGAACUUCCCAACCUCCAGAGCAGUAAAAAAAUAAAUCACUGUUCUUUAC